RNAcentral lists this long non-coding RNA (606 nucleotides) under Cavia porcellus (domestic guinea pig). RNAcentral's name for it is "lncRNA (ENSCPOG00000040214.1)". Lineage: Eukaryota; Metazoa; Chordata; Mammalia; Rodentia; Caviidae. The record is from RNAcentral.
GUGUGCAUUUGGUACAGCGUUCCUCCUUCCAUCCAUUUCUGCGCAAGAACCGCUGAAGUGGGUGCCCCAGCUUCAGGAUAGUCAGGAACAUACAUAGAAGCAUAUACAAGAUAAGAGAAAACGUCUUUCAAGAACAUCACACUCUCAAGGAGAAGGAACUUCAAACGGGACCAAAAGCCUCCCAUGGCUAUGGAGGGAAAUUCUGCGUGGAACAGUACAGCAUGGACAAAGAACAAGCCAAAGCCAAAAAGAAAACAUCCACUGAGUCCCCCACUCCUCAUCCAGCUGAGGAGAGGCAGCCUUCCAGCCCCAUCUAUGAGGGUUCAGGGAUGGCAUCCUUGGAGUGAGGCAUCCUCCCCGCUGCCCUUCCUUACCUUUCUGCACCUCCCUGCAGUCAGACUGCCAGCUGAGGAGUGGGUCACUGUCUCCCUACAGCCCUGGAAGAGAACACCUAUGACGAGUAUGAGAACGACCUGGGCAUCACAGCCAUCGCACUCUAGGACUACCAGGCUGGUGAGGCGCCUGAGCAACUUCCUGCCCUUUGUUCCUGCCAACUCAGCCCCUAAGAAUCUGACUUUUCCAGUGAUGUUGCAGUUUCUAUUUUGA